Mycena epipterygia is the source of this 92-nucleotide non-coding RNA. The record is from the annotation of a GenBank genome assembly. Lineage: Eukaryota; Fungi; Basidiomycota; Agaricomycetes; Agaricales; Mycenaceae.
GGCCCGGUGGUGGAUGGUCCGUACCUGCACUCAAUGGUAUGUUCGGCAACGGCAGUUUGCAGGAGGUGCGCGUUCGAUUCGCGCCCGGGCUA